CAGCCCUUUGCUAACAGAGACUGUAAUGCACUCAAUUUACACUUGCAGGGAACAACUACAAGGACAACCAAAGAUAUAAUUAAUGUGAAAUAAGUAUUCCUCAGCAGAACAGUCUUAGGGAAUUGAUGAAGCUGAAGAAAACUACUUUUCCCCAGUUACUCUCAGAGGGAAUUUCAAAGCAAUGGAAAAUAUUCAGGGAAGUACUCAAAUAUAAGAAGACAUAUUAGAAAGAGCUUACCCUUAACUGAAAGUGAACCAUUCAAAUCCUGUAAACCUAGGGAGAAUGAAAGAAGAUAGAUUGAGAAAUUAAAAAUGUCAACCAGAGACAAAAGAUAAAGGAUUGAAUCAUGAGUCUUCCACUGUUUGGUUUCUGAAGGAUCUGGAAGAAAUUACAGGAGUGACAGUUGUGAGAGGGACGUACUCCAGAUUGGAGGGGCUGGUUUGUGCUUUGUUACCACAUUGCCUCUUCCUAGCAGAAUGGAUGUGCUAGUGGCAUUCCCGGAUUUCUUGAGCUCUCAUGCUAACUCUGAGUCAGCUUUCACCUGGCUGGGUGCCCACCUGCAUAAUUCCAGAUGUG
Molecule: long non-coding RNA, 577 nt
Organism: Cyanistes caeruleus (blue tit)
Lineage: Eukaryota; Metazoa; Chordata; Aves; Passeriformes; Paridae
Source: RefSeq, a predicted model, not a curated record